CUUACACAUGCAAGUCGAGCGGUAACAUGAACUGUAGCAAUACAGUUUGAUGACGAGCGGCGGACGGGUGAGUAACACGUAGGAAACUGCCCAGAAGCGGGGGACAACCAAGGGAAACUUUGGCUAAUACCGCGUAAUCUCGGAAGAGGAAAGCUGCCCGCAAGGGUGGCGCUUUUGGAGGGGCAUGCGGUCGCUUAGCUAGUUGGUGAGGUAAAAGCUAACCAAGGCAGAGAUCGGUAACUGGUCUGAGAGGACGACCAGUCAAACUGGGACUUAGACACGGCCCAGACUACUACGGGAGGCAGCAGUGGGAAAUAUUGGACAAUGGGGGCAACCCUGAUUCAGCGAUGCCGCGUGGGUGAAGAAGGCCUCCGGGUUGUAAAGCCCUUUAGGUUGGGAAGAAGUUUAUGGGGGGAAUAUCCCCAUAGAUUGACGGUACCGACAAAAUAAGCACCGGCAAACUCUGUGCCAGCCGCCGCAGUAA
Molecule: ribosomal RNA, 484 nt
Filed under: uncultured bacterium
Lineage: Bacteria
Description: partial 16S ribosomal RNA
Rfam family: Bacterial small subunit ribosomal RNA
Source: RNAcentral